UAGCUAGUUGGUGGGGUAAAGGCCUACCAAGGCGACGAUCGGUAGCUGGUCUGAGAGGAUGGACAGCCACACUGGGACUGAGACACGGCCCAGACUCCUACGGGAGGCAGCAGUGGGGAAUAUUGGACAAUGGGGGCAACCCUGAUCCAGCAAUGCCGCGUGUGUGAAGAAGGCCUGAGGGUUGUAAAGCACUUUCAGUGGGGAGGAGGAUUUAUUGGUUAAGAGCUGAUGAAUUGGACGUUACCCACAGAAGAAGCACCGGCUAACUCCGUGCCAGCAGCCGCGGUAAUACGGAGGGUGCGAGCGUUAAUCGGAAUUACUGGGCGUAAAGGGUGCGUAGGUGGUUUAAUAAGUUAACUGUGAAAUUCCUGGGCUCAACCUGGGCAGGUCAGUUAAGACUGUUAGACUAGAGUAUAGGAGAGGGUAGUGGAAUUUCCGGUGUAGCGGUGAAAUGCGUAGAGAUCGGAAGGAACACCAGUGGCGAAGGCGUCUACCUGGCCGGAUACUGACACUGAGGCACGAAAGCGUGGGUAGCAAACAGGAUUAGAUACCCUGGUAGUCCACGCUGUAAACGAUGUCAACUAGCUGUUGGGCACAUAGAAGUGUUUAGUGGCGA
This 616-nucleotide ribosomal RNA is filed under the name uncultured Legionella sp. RNAcentral describes it as "bacterial SSU rRNA". It matches the Rfam family "Bacterial small subunit ribosomal RNA", at positions 242 to 849 of the family's 1533-position model. The record is from RNAcentral. Lineage: Bacteria; Pseudomonadati; Pseudomonadota; Gammaproteobacteria; Legionellales; Legionellaceae.